GAGUACUCAUUUCAGCGGCUUGUAUACUAAAAUUGGAAUGAUACAGAGAAGACUAGCAUGGCUUUUGCACAAGGAUGACAUGCAAAUUCGAGAAGCAGUCCAUAUUUUU
Small nuclear RNA from Balaenoptera musculus (blue whale), 109 nucleotides. Lineage: Eukaryota; Metazoa; Chordata; Mammalia; Artiodactyla; Balaenopteridae. The record is from Ensembl.